Molecule: ribosomal RNA, 254 nt
Filed under: uncultured bacterium
Lineage: Bacteria
Description: partial 16S ribosomal RNA
Rfam family: Bacterial small subunit ribosomal RNA
Source: RNAcentral
UACAGAGGGAGCAAGCGUUGUUCGGAAUUAUUGGGCGUAAAGAGCUCGUAGGCGGCUUGGCAAGUCGGAUGUGAAAACUCCAGGCUCAACCUGGAGCCGCCAUUCGAUACUGCUAUGGCUAGAGUCCGGUAGGGGAGUGUGGAAUUCCCGGUGUAGCGGUGAAAUGCGCAGAUAUCGGGAGGAACACCGAUGGCGAAGGCAGCACUCUGGGCCGGCACUGACGCUGAGGAGCGAAAGCGUGGGGAGCGAACAGG